GACGAACGCUGGCGGCGUGCUUAACACAUGCAAGUCGAACGGAAAGGCCCUGCUUUUGUGGGGUGCUCGAGUGGCGAACGGGUGAGUAACACGUGAGUAACCUGCCCUUGACUUUGGGAUAGCUUCAGGAAACUGGGGCUAAUACCGGAUAGGAGCUCCUGCUGCAUGGUGGGGGUUGGAAAGUUUCGGCGGUUGGGGAUGGACUCGCGGCUUAUCAGCUUGUUGGUGGGGUAGUGGCUUACCAAGGCUUUGACGGGUAGCCGGCCUGAGAGGGUGACCGGCCACAUUGGGACUGAGAUACGGCCCAGACUCCUACGGGAGGCAGCAGUGGGGAAUAUUGCACAAUGGGCGGAAGCCUGAUGCAGCAACGCCGCGUGCGGGAUGACGGCCCUCGGGUUGUAAACCGCUUUCGCCUGUGACGAAGCGUGGGUGACGGUAAUGGGUAAAGAAGCACCGGCUAACUACGUG
RNAcentral lists this ribosomal RNA (468 nucleotides) under uncultured bacterium. RNAcentral's name for it is "partial 16S ribosomal RNA". It matches the Rfam family "Bacterial small subunit ribosomal RNA", at positions 28 to 507 of the family's 1533-position model. The record is from RNAcentral.